UACGUAGGGUGCAAGCGUUAAUCGGAAUUACUGGGCGUAAAGCGUGCGCAGGCGGUUUUGUAAGUCCGAUGUGAAAUCCCCGGGCUUAACCUGGGAACUGCGUUUGAAACUACAAGGCUAGAGUGUGACAGAGGGGGGUGGAAUUCCACGUGUAGCAGUGAAAUGCGUAGAGAUGUGGAGGAACACCGAUGGCGAAGGCAGCCCCCUGGGUUAACACUGACGCUGAGGAGCGAAAGCGUGGGGAGCGAACAGG
This 253-nucleotide ribosomal RNA is filed under the name uncultured bacterium. RNAcentral's name for it is "partial 16S ribosomal RNA". It matches the Rfam family "Bacterial small subunit ribosomal RNA", at positions 524 to 776 of the family's 1533-position model. The record is from RNAcentral.